AGCCUGAUGCAGCCAUGCCGCGUGUAUGAAGAAGGCCUUCGGGUUGUAAAGUAUUCAGUGUGAGGAAGGGGGUGUCGUUAAUAGCGGCAUCUCUUGACGUUAGCAACAGAAGAAGCACCGGCUAACUCCGUGCCAGCAGCCGCGGUAAUACGGAGGGUGCGAGCGUUAAUCGGAAUUACUGGGCGUAAAGCGCAUGCAGGUGGUUCAUUAAGUCAGAUGUGAAAGCCCGGGGCUCAACCUCGGAACUGCAUUUGAAACUGGUGAACUAGAGUACUGUAGAGGGGGGUAGAAUUUCAGGUGUAGCGGUGAAAUGCGUAGAGAUCUGAAGGAAUACCAGUGGCGAAGGCGGCCCCCUGGACAGAUACUGACACUCAGAUGCGAAAGCGUGGGGAGCAAACAGGAUUAGAUACCCUGGUAGUCCACGCCGUAAACGAUGUCUACUUUUGUGGCCUUGAGCCGUGGCUUUCGGAGCUAACGCGUUAAGUAGACCGCCUG
This 495-nucleotide ribosomal RNA is filed under the name Vibrio sp. 3WN2 2. Its description in RNAcentral is "bacterial SSU rRNA". It matches the Rfam family "Bacterial small subunit ribosomal RNA", at positions 380 to 875 of the family's 1533-position model. Lineage: Bacteria; Pseudomonadati; Pseudomonadota; Gammaproteobacteria; Vibrionales; Vibrionaceae. The record is from RNAcentral.